Molecule: long non-coding RNA, 259 nt
Organism: Helianthus annuus (common sunflower)
Lineage: Eukaryota; Viridiplantae; Streptophyta; Magnoliopsida; Asterales; Asteraceae
Exons: 3
Source: RefSeq, a predicted model, not a curated record
AUUCACAGCCAGUUAAACGUGUUAGAUCAAGGAAUUCCUCACUAAUAUGCCCUCUGGGAUCGAUGUAGCUGGUGUAGCUUACAUUCUUUGUUCAGUUGUUUCUUUCAGGAGGUAAGGUUGCAAUGAUAGAUGUUAUGUUUAAACAAGAAUGUGAAGGAUUCAUCACACAAUGAGUUUACUGGUGAUAGUGUGGUUGAGGUUGUUGUUGCAUCUGUGAAAGAAACCACAUCAACAAUGUGAAUAUCAUCAUUUUGGCCAC